AUACGUAGGGUGCGAGCGUUAAUCGGAAUUACUGGGCGUAAAGCGUGCGCAGGCGGUUGUGUAAGUCAGAUGUGAAAUCCCCGGGCUCAACCUGGGAACUGCAUUUGAGACUGCACGGCUAGAGUGUAGCAGAGGGGGGUAGAAUUCCACGUGUAGCAGUGAAAUGCGUAGAGAUGUGGAGGAAUACCGAUGGCGAAGGCAGCCCCCUGGGCUACUACUGACGCUCAUGCACGAAAGCGUGGGGAGC
This 247-nucleotide ribosomal RNA is filed under the name uncultured bacterium. RNAcentral's name for it is "partial 16S ribosomal RNA". It matches the Rfam family "Bacterial small subunit ribosomal RNA", at positions 523 to 769 of the family's 1533-position model. The record is from RNAcentral.